This 464-nucleotide ribosomal RNA is filed under the name uncultured bacterium. RNAcentral describes it as "SSU rRNA". It matches the Rfam family "Bacterial small subunit ribosomal RNA", at positions 26 to 518 of the family's 1533-position model. The record is from RNAcentral.
AGGACGAACGCUUGCGACGUGCCUAAGAAAUGCAAGUCGAACGAGGCAGCAAUGCCGAGUGGCGAACGGUCGCGUAACACGUGGGCAACCUGCCCUGAAGCGGGGGACAACAACUUGAAAGAGUUGCUAAUACCGCAUGUGAAUCGUGGUGGCAUCACCGAGGAUUCAAAGCCGCAAGGCACUUCAGGAUGGGCCCGCGGCCUAUCAGCUAGUUGGUGAGGUAACGGCCCACCAAGGCUUCGACGGGUAGCUGGUCUGAGAGGACGAUCAGCCGGAUUGGGACUGAGAUACGGCCCAGACUCCUACGGGGGGCAGCAAUUAGGAAUCUUGCGCAAUGGGCGAAAGCCUGACGCAGCGACGUCGCGUGAAGGAUGAAAUCUUUCGGGAUGUAAACUUCUUUUCUGAGGAAGAAACAAUGACGGUACUCAGAGAAUAAGCCCGGCUAACUACGCGCCAGCAGCCGC